UACACUCCUGCGGGAGGCAGCAGUGGGGAAUUUUGGACAAUGGGCGAAAGCCUGAUCCAGCAAUGCCGCGUGAGUGAAGAAGGCCUUCGGGUUGUAAAGCUCUUUUGUCAGGGAAGAAACGGUGAGAGCUAAUAUCUUUUGCUAAUGACGGUACCUGAAGAAUAAGCACCGGCUAACUACGUGCCAGCAGCCGCGGUAAUACGUAGGGUGCAAGCGUUAAUCGGAAUUACUGGGCGUAAAGCGUGCGCAGGCGGUUUUGUAAGUCUGAUGUGGAAUCCCCGGGCUCAACCUGGGAAUUGCAUUGGAGACUGCAAGGCUAGAAUCUGGCAGAGGGGGGUAGAAUUCCACGUGUAGCAGUGAAAUGCGUAGAUAUGUGGAGGAACACCGAUGGCGAAGGCAGCCCCCUGGGUCAAGAUUGACGCUCAUGCACGAAAGCGUGGGGAGCAAACAGGAUUAGAAACCCCGGUAGUCCCA
RNAcentral lists this ribosomal RNA (474 nucleotides) under uncultured organism. RNAcentral's name for it is "partial 16S ribosomal RNA". It matches the Rfam family "Bacterial small subunit ribosomal RNA", at positions 332 to 797 of the family's 1533-position model. The record is from RNAcentral.